GCCAGCAUGGCAGAGCAGUUUGAGUGUUAGACUACAACUCUGGAGACCAGGGUUCGAUUCCCAGUUCAGCA
Non-coding RNA from Phrynosoma platyrhinos (Desert horned lizard), 71 nucleotides. NCBI's taxonomy places the organism in Eukaryota, Metazoa, Chordata, Lepidosauria, Squamata, Phrynosomatidae. The record is from the annotation of a GenBank genome assembly.